GAUUGAUGUUCCAAAUCUGCAGGUGAUAAAGCUGAUGCAGAGCUUCAAGUCCAGGGAGUACGUGCGCGAGACAUUUGCUUGGAUGCAUUAUUACUGGUUCCUCACCAACGAUGGAAUUGAGUUCCUCAGAACAUACCUCAACCUUCCCUCGGAAAUCGUACCCGCCACUCUUAAGAAGCAGGCCAAGCCCGCCGGAAGACCAUUCGGUGGCCCACCCGGUGAUCGCCCAAGGUAAUAUGCCGUUGUCUUUCUCGCUAUAUCUUCGAAUUGUUAUAUUGCUGUGUUUGAUUUGACUUUUGUGUGAUUUUCUUUGAACAGGGGCCCACCUCGCUUUGAGGGAGAGAGGAGAUUCGGUGGUGAUAGAGAUGGAUACCGUGGGGGUCCCCGGGGACCUGGUGGUGACUUUGGGGAGAAAGGUGGAGCUCCUGCUGACUACAGACCUUCAUUUGGGGUAACUUAUUGCAACCUAUCAAUCAUCAUUAUGUUUCUAAUGGUUUAUUUAUUUCCUAUUUUCAAAUAUCUUUAUUCUAUAUCUUUUACUUUUUUUUUACGGUUGUCCAUGGUUCUAUGUUGGAUUUCUAUAUUAGCCAUACCGUCAUCACGUUCCACCUAAAUUAGAGCGAAAUUUAGUUUUAGAUACUGAAAGAGAUACAUAUAGCACUGGAACGAGAAAAUAGAGGGAAGAUUAGUAUUAGAAACAAUGAAAUACUUUCAUAUUUUCCGAUUCUUCAAAGUGGAUCCUUCAUUUUACUCUGAAAAGAGAAUCUGUGGUUUGUAUUUUUAUACCCCAAUUGAUGUAAGAGACUUGUACAUUAACCAUCUGACGAUGAUACCGUUAUCUGAGUGAAUUGAUGACUUGAUGGGUAAGCAUUCUAGGAUGAACAUAUUCGGUUGAAUAAUAUGUUAUGUUGCCAAUUUUCAUAGUGUAUCAAUUUGUUCCUGGGUUUCCCAAUUUUUGUAGCUUUCUUUAUCCAAUCAUUACGAUUAGUAGGUAGUCAUUUUUUUGAUUACUUUUAUAGUCAGGAACCUACUGUGUUGCUUCUGGCUUUUUUUAUAAUUCAUGCUGGUUGAGUUAGGCCUCUUAUCUAUACUUCCUUUAAAUUGCCGUUCUAUCUAAACUCAUAUCCGUUUGAAGUUGCAAGUUUAAUUGGAUGAUUUGAGACAAUCUCUCAUUUAUUUUUUGCUCUAAUUCUUAAUUCUGUGAAGCGGUAGGGUCGUGAUUCUGAUAACAAAUUCGUAGCGGCUGUUCUUAUCUGGGUUUGCUUAGUUUUUAUUCCAAAUCUGAAAUGUAUGCUUGACUCUUUUUUCAGGGUCCCGGUGGAAGGCCUGGUUUCGGUCGAGGUGCUGGUGGUUAUGGGGCACCAACAAGUUCAAACACUCCUUAAAUAUGAUUGAUUUGUGCUCAAGGUUUUACAGUUUUGGCUGUCAUUCGAGUUAAUAGUAGCACCCCUCGUUCCAAAGUAGUUUGAUCUGGCUGACAAUUUACUUAAGUUAAUUAUACAGUGAAAAUUUUGAAUUGAAUAUUUUUGCCCUGAAUUUGUGUUUGAGGUGUGAUGCUUUGGGUAGUGAGAAUGGGCUGUUGUAAA
This 1586-nucleotide long non-coding RNA is filed under the name Vigna radiata. Its description in RNAcentral is "long non-coding RNA (VRAD_LNC010829)". Lineage: Eukaryota; Viridiplantae; Streptophyta; Magnoliopsida; Fabales; Fabaceae. The record is from RNAcentral.